CCUACGGGCGGCAGCAGUAGGGAAUAUUGCUCAAUGGGGGAAACCCUGAAGCAGCAACGCCGCGUGGAGGAUGAAGGUUUUAGGAUUGUAAACUCCUUUUGUGAGAGAAGAUAAUGACGGUAUCUCACGAAUAAGCACCGGCUAACUACGUGCCAGCAGCCGUGGUAAUACGGAGGGUGCAAGCGUUACUCGGAAUCACUGGGCGUAAAGGGUGUGCAGGCGGGUUUGUAAGUCAGAUGUGAAAUCCUGUAGGUUAACUACAGAACUGCAUUUGAAACUUUGAGACUUGAGUGUGGGAGAGGUAGGUGGAAUUCUUGGUGUAGGGGUAAAAUCCGUAGAUAUCAAGAGGAAUACUCAUUGCGAAGGCGACCUACUGGAACAUUACUGACGCUCAUGCACGAAAGCGUGGGGAGCAAACAGGAUUAGAUACCCUAGUAGUC
This 440-nucleotide ribosomal RNA is filed under the name uncultured bacterium. RNAcentral describes it as "partial 16S ribosomal RNA". It matches the Rfam family "Bacterial small subunit ribosomal RNA", at positions 338 to 795 of the family's 1533-position model. The record is from RNAcentral.